GCAGCUUGCUGCUUUGCUGACGAGUGGCGGACGGGUGAGUAAUGUCUGGGAAACUGCCCGAUGGAGGGGGAUAACUACUGGAAACGGUAGCUAAUACCGCAUAACGUCGCAAGACCAAAGAGGGGGACCUUCGGGCCUCUUGCCAUCGGAUGUGCCCAGAUGGGAUUAGCUAGUAGGUGGGGUAACGGCUCACCUAGGCGACGAUCCCUAGCUGGUCUGAGAGGAUGACCAGCCACACUGGAACUGAGACACGGUCCAGACUCCUACGGGAGGCAGCAGUGGGGAAUAUUGCACAAUGGGCGCAAGCCUGAUGCAGCCAUGCCGCGUGUAUGAAGAAGGCCUUCGGGUUGUAAAGUACUUUCAGCGGGGAGGAAGGGAGUAAAGUUAAUACCUUUGCUCAUUGACGUUACCCGCAGAAGAAGCACCGGCUAACUCCGUGCCAGCAGCCGCGGUAAUACGGAGGGUGCAAGCGUUAAUCGGAAUUACUGGGCGU
This 493-nucleotide ribosomal RNA is filed under the name uncultured bacterium. Its description in RNAcentral is "bacterial SSU rRNA". It matches the Rfam family "Bacterial small subunit ribosomal RNA", at positions 75 to 561 of the family's 1533-position model. The record is from RNAcentral.